UACGAAGGGGGCUAGCGUUGUUCGGAAUUACUGGGCGUAAAGCGCACGUAGGCGGAUAUUUAAGUCAGGGGUGAAAUCCCGGGGCUCAACCCCGGAACUGCCUUUGAUACUGGAUAUCUCGAGUCCGAGAGAGGUGAGUGGAAUUCCGAGUGUAGAGGUGAAAUUCGUAGAUAUUCGGAGGAACACCAGUGGCGAAGGCGGCUCACUGGCUCGGUACUGACGCUGAGGUGCGAAAGCGUGGGGAGCAAACAGG
RNAcentral lists this ribosomal RNA (253 nucleotides) under uncultured bacterium. RNAcentral describes it as "partial 16S ribosomal RNA". It matches the Rfam family "Bacterial small subunit ribosomal RNA", at positions 524 to 776 of the family's 1533-position model. The record is from RNAcentral.